GUUGGUAGCUGUGAAUCACUAUCAACACAGUCCGCGUAGAUGAUCUGAUUAUGUUUUGAACAACCGCAGGUGUACGGGCCAGAAGCGACGAUGACAGGAAUCUGCAAACAAGCAAUUGAAUGCGUCAUGGCUGCAGCAUAGUCCGCAAUUGAAUGGGUAGUUUGGGAUCUGCAAACACGCAACUGAAUGUGUCAUGGGCUCAACAUAAAUGAGGGAUGGAGAGUGUAGUAGCAGUAGUUAACCACACAUGAUUGUUCUCUUUUUUCAGAUAUGUCGUUGUAGCGGGAGGAGCUGUUUGAAUGAAACUUUUAUAGGUCGUUACUGCAAAGAAAUUACUAUUGUGAGAUGGAAUAAUUAAAUUCGAGGUCUAGUUUAUGUGUGUGUUUUAUCAUGAACACUGAGUUGAAAUGGCCCUGUCAAGUGGAUUCCGUUGUAAUGUUCUUGUUGAUUGCUGCCACAUACACAGAUUAGUACAUUGAGCUUUUCGGGUGAUGCACAUUUUAAUAGAAUUAAUUUGUCACCAUGGUCAGAAGAACGCAAUGCAUCUCCCAUGUGGCAAGUGUUAGAAUAAUUGGCUGUUGAUCCAUUAUUUAAUUGAUCAAAUAAAUCCUAAGACCUAUUAGUGGUGGUAGUUACAAAUAGAAUAAAACCAACGCUGGCGGCACCUCCAGGAACCCGGCGACGGCGUCCCCGCUGCCAACACUGGGCGCACUCCCGGUGCAUCCUCUGACCGGCGGUGCAACUGAUGGCCAGGCCAUGCUCCAGGACGCGACUCCCCUGUCGCUUGGCAGCGGCGGUUUGGCGCCAACCACCAUGAACCCGGCGGCAACACCAGAUGCCACGUCCCCUGGCAUCGCCAGCCUCUUCGUCACGCCGCCGGGGCCGGUCCUCCACACGCCUACACAACCACAGCAGUGUUGGGAUCUAACCUCGGGAGCAGAUAGAUCACAACACGGUGAAGGGAUGAAGGUCACUUAUCCUCGGCAGUGAUGGCAC
RNAcentral lists this long non-coding RNA (996 nucleotides) under Setaria italica (foxtail millet). RNAcentral's name for it is "long non-coding RNA (SITA_LNC006335)". The record is from RNAcentral. Lineage: Eukaryota; Viridiplantae; Streptophyta; Magnoliopsida; Poales; Poaceae.